AGUGAACGCUGGCGGUAGGCCUAACACAUGCAAGUCGAACGGCAGCACGGUAAGAGCUUGCUCUUACGGGUGGCGAGUGGCGGACGGGUGAGGAAUACAUCGGAAUCUACUUUUUCGUGGGGGAUAGCGUAGGGAAACUUACGCUAAUACCGCAUACGACCUACGGGUGAAAGCAGGGGAUCUUCGGACCUUGCGCGAUUGAAUGAGCCGAUGUCGGAUUAGCUAGUUGGCGGGGUAAAGGCCCACCAAGGCGACGAUCCGUAGCUGGUCUGAGAGGAUGAUCAGCCACACUGGAACUGAGACACGGUCCAGACUCCUACGGGAGGCAGCAGUGGGGAAUAUUGGACAAUGGGCGCAAGCCUGAUCCAGCCAUACCGCGUGGGUGAAGAAGGCCUUCGGGUUGUAAAGCCCUUUUGUUGGGAAAGAAAAGCAGCAGGUUAAUACCCCGCUGUUCUGACGGUACCCAAAGAAUAAGCACCGGCUAACUUCGUG
RNAcentral lists this ribosomal RNA (492 nucleotides) under uncultured bacterium. Its description in RNAcentral is "partial 16S ribosomal RNA". It matches the Rfam family "Bacterial small subunit ribosomal RNA", at positions 29 to 507 of the family's 1533-position model. The record is from RNAcentral.